Molecule: ribosomal RNA, 696 nt
Filed under: uncultured bacterium
Lineage: Bacteria
Description: bacterial SSU rRNA
Rfam family: Bacterial small subunit ribosomal RNA
Source: RNAcentral
AACGCUAGCUACAGGCUUAACACAUGCAAGUCGAGGGGAAACGACAUCGAAAGCUUGCUUUUGAUGGGCGUCGACCGGCGCACGGGUGAGUAACGCGUAUCCAACCUGCCCAUCACUUGGGGAUAACCUUGCGAAAGUAAGACUAAUACCCAAUGACGUCUCUAGAAGACAUCUGAAAGAGAUUAAAGAUUUAUCGGUGAUGGAUGGGGAUGCGUCUGAUUAGCUUGUUGGCGGGGUAACGGCCCACCAAGGCUACGAUCAGUAGGGGUUCUGAGAGGAAGGUCCCCCACAUUGGAACUGAGACACGGUCCAAACUCCUACGGGAGGCAGCAGUGAGGAAUAUUGGUCAAUGGACGAGAGUCUGAACCAGCCAAGUAGCGUGCAGGAUGACGGCCCUAUGGGUUGUAAACCGCUUUUAUAAGGGAAUAAAGUGAGUCUCGUGAGACUUUUUGCAAGUACCUUAUGAAUAAGGACCGGCUAAUUCCGUGCCAGCAGCCGCGGUAAUACGGAAGGUCCGGGCGUUAUCCGGACUUAUUGGGUUUAAAGGGAGCGUAGGCCGGAGAUUAAGCGUGUUGUGAAAUGUAGACGCUCAACGUCUGCACUGCAGCGCGAACUGGUUUUCUUGAGUACGCACAAAGUGGGCGGAAUUCGUGGUGUAGCGGUGAAAUGCUUAGAUAUCACGAAGAACUCCGAUUG